AAAUUGAAGAGUUUGAUCAUGGCUCAGAUUGAACGCUGGCGGCAGGCCUAACACAUGCAAGUCGAACGGUAACAGGAAGCAGCUUGCUGCUUCGCUGACGAGUGGCGGACGGGUGAGUAAUGUCUGGGAAACUGCCUGAUGGAGGGGGAUAACUACUGGAAACGGUGGCUAAUACCGCAUAACGUCGCAAGACCAAAGAGGGGGACCUUCGGGCCUCUUGCCAUCAGAUGUGCCCAGAUGGGAUUAGCUAGUUGGUGAGGUAACGGCUCACCAAGGCGACGAUCCCUAGCUGGUCUGAGAGGAUGACCAGCCACACUGGAACUGAGACACGGUCCAGACUCCUACGGGAGGCAGCAGUGGGGAAUAUUGCACAAUGGGCGCAAGCCUGAUGCAGCCAUGCCGCGUGUAUGAAGAAGGCCUUCGGGUUGUAAAGUACUUUCAGCGGGGAGGAAGGUGUUGUGGUUAAUAACCGCAGCAAUUGACGUUACCCGCAGAAGAAGCACCGGCUAACUCCGUGCCAGCAGCCGCGGUAAUACGGAGGGUGCAAGCGUUAAUCGGAAUUACUGGGCGUAAAGCGCACGCAGGCGGUCUGUCAAGUCGGAUGUGAAAUCCCCGGGCUCAACCUGGGAACUGCAUUCGAAACUGGCAGGCUUGAGUCUUGUAGAGGGGGGUAGAAUUCCAGGUGUAGCGGUGAAAUGCGUAGAGAUCUGGAGGAAUACCGGUGGCGAAGGCGGCCCCCUGGACAAAGACUGACGCUCAGGUGCGAAAGCGUGGG
RNAcentral lists this ribosomal RNA (775 nucleotides) under Salmonella enterica. Its description in RNAcentral is "bacterial SSU rRNA". It matches the Rfam family "Bacterial small subunit ribosomal RNA", at positions 1 to 765 of the family's 1533-position model. The record is from RNAcentral. Lineage: Bacteria; Pseudomonadati; Pseudomonadota; Gammaproteobacteria; Enterobacterales; Enterobacteriaceae.